Molecule: ribosomal RNA, 443 nt
Filed under: Rhytismataceae sp. sd1aN2b(D)
Lineage: Eukaryota; Fungi; Ascomycota; Leotiomycetes; Rhytismatales
Description: eukaryotic LSU rRNA
Rfam family: 5.8S ribosomal RNA (bases 134-288)
Source: RNAcentral
CAUUAAAGAAUACAAGGCCUUCGGGUCCUAUUCUCACCCUUUGUAUACCAAAACUCUUGUUGCCUUGGCGCUUCGUGCGCCGAAGGAAGUAAACCCUUGAAUCUCUGCUGUNUGAGUACUAUAUAAUAGUUAAAACUUUCAACAACGGAUCUCUUGGUUCUGGCAUCGAUGAAGAACGCAGCGAAAUGCGAUAAGUAAUGUGAAUUGCAGAAUUCAGUGAAUCAUCGAAUCUUUGAACGCACUAUUGCGCCUCCUGGCAUUCCGGGAGGCAUGCCUGUUCGAGCGUCAUUACAACCCUCAAGCUCAGCUUGGUCUUGGGCUCGCCUCCUUUGGCCUGCCUCAAAAUCAGUGGCGGCACAAUCCGAUCCUUAAGCGCAGUAAUACACGACGCUUACUUGUGUGAAGAUUGCGGCUCCAGAAACCCCCACAAACUAAAGGUUGAC